This 179-nucleotide non-coding RNA is filed under the name Betaproteobacteria bacterium. RNAcentral's name for it is "6S RNA". It matches the Rfam family "6S / SsrS RNA". From Rfam's summary of the family: E. coli 6S RNA was the first non coding RNA to be sequenced, but its function was unknown until recently. It consists of 184 nucleotides that fold into an extended hairpin structure with a large single-stranded internal bulge. Lineage: Bacteria; Pseudomonadati; Pseudomonadota; Betaproteobacteria. The record is from RNAcentral.
CGUUCCCUGCGGUGUUCGAGCCGCUCAAAUACUCUUUGGACCAAUGCUAAGCUAGCGGUUGCCGAGCCAAUUGCGGGCCGGUGUGCGCUCCCACGCGGAAGCGCCUGAUGGCCCCGGCAGGCGACCCUCUUGAACCCCAGGUUCAGGAUGAUGGGCGGCACGGCACAGGCGGGGGACAC